RNAcentral lists this unclassified non-coding RNA (352 nucleotides) under soil metagenome. Its description in RNAcentral is "partial contains 5.8S ribosomal RNA, internal transcribed spacer 2, and large subunit ribosomal RNA". The stretch from base 1 to 120 matches the Rfam family "5.8S ribosomal RNA", at positions 35 to 154 of the family's 154-position model. The record is from RNAcentral.
GAUGAAGAACGCAGCGAAAUGCGAUAAGUAAUGUGAAUUGCAGAAUUCAGUGAAUCAUCGAAUCUUUGAACGCACAUUGCGCCCGCCAGUAUUCUGGCGGGCAUGCCUGUUCGAGCGUCAUUACAACCCUCAGGCCCCCGGGCCUGGCGUUGGGGAUCGGCGGAGCCCCCCGUGGGCACACGCCGUCCCCCAAAUGCAGUGGCGGUCCCGCCGCAGCUUCCAUCGCGUAGUAGCUAACACCUCGCGACUGGAGAGCGGCGCGGCCACGCCGUAAAACACCCAACUCUUCUGAAGUUGACCUCGAAUCAGGUAGGAAUACCCGCUGAACUUAAGCAUAUCAAUAACCGGAGGA